CGGCUAUUCUCUCCUCCCUUCCCGCGCCACUUUAUUCUCGUCGGAGAGCACUAGAAGCUGGCAAUCUCCAUAAAAUAAUUCGGAGGCAAUUUUGCCGAGACAUAUCACUUGUCACAUCGCAUAUGCUUCU
Molecule: non-coding RNA, 130 nt
Organism: Caenorhabditis elegans
Lineage: Eukaryota; Metazoa; Nematoda; Chromadorea; Rhabditida; Rhabditidae
Source: Ensembl